CCAGUCAACCCAGCACAAAUGAAAUUCUUCAAGCUGUUCUGAAGGAAUGUAGCAAAGAGAAUCUCAAAUACAAGAUUGUAGCAAUCAGCUGUGCAGCUGAUAUCUUGAAGGCCACCAAAGAGGACAGAUUCCAGGAGUUUUCUGACAUUGUCAUACCUCUCAUCAAGAAGAACUCACUUGAAAGCAGUGGGGUCCGGACAACCAAAAAUGAAGAGGAGAAUGAAAAGGAAAAGGAGCUCCAGCUGGAAUAUCUGCUGGGUGCCUUUGAAAGCCUGGGCAAAGCCUGGCCCCGAAACGCAGAGACCCAACGUUGUUAUCGUCAGGAGCUGUGCAAAUUGAUGUGUGAACGGCUAAAACUCAGCACGUGGAAAGUGCAGCUAGGAGUCCUGCAAUCAAUGAAUGCCUUUUUUCAGGGGUUAAUGCUUUUGGAAGAAGAACAUGCUGAUCCUGAGGCUUUGGCUGAAAUUCUGCUUGAAACUUGUAAAUCAAUCACAUAUUCUUUAGGUGAGUGUAGUAAACUAAAACUGAUGAGGGAGUCCUAAUUUUAAAGCUAAGGAGCUGAGCUUCAAAUAUUUCCUACCUUGUCUUAGGAACUAAAUUUCUGAAAUAGCUUGCUGGACUCUGCUACUUAUUAUACUCCAUGUGUACCCCUUAACUGGAAUAUUUAAAUCUGGAACUAUAACAGGAUUUUAGCAUCUAGUUUAGAAAAACCUUCGUGACAAGUAUUUUUACAAAAUUGUUAUUUGAAAGUAAUUUCAAACUUACAGAAUGGUUGCAACGACAGUACAUGCAAUACUCUGCAAUAUGUAUACACUUUAUGCAGAAUCAUUUGUUAACAUUUUGUGCCAUUUGCUUUGUCAUUUGGACUUCUAUAUACAUGUUUUUCUCCUGAACCAUUUGAAAGUAUGUUGCUUACUUCAGGCCCCCUUGUUCCUCAAUUAUUUAGUGUGCCGCGGUACAGUUGUCAACUUUAGAUAGUAAACAUGGAUGCAAUUUUUUAAAUCAAAUGUUUAUCGUUCAUAUUCUAGUUUGUUCAGUUGAUUCGGUAAUGUUCUUUAUUUUUAUUUUUUUCGAGUUGGAGUCUCGCUCUGUCACUCAGGUUGGAGUGCAGUGGUGUGAUCUCAGCUCAUUGCAACCUCUGCUUUCCAGGUUCAAGCAGUCCUCCUGCCUCAGUCUCCCAAGUA
This 1184-nucleotide small RNA is filed under the name Pan troglodytes (chimpanzee). Its description in RNAcentral is "processed transcript". Lineage: Eukaryota; Metazoa; Chordata; Mammalia; Primates; Hominidae. The record is from RNAcentral.